AGGCUUUGAUCCUGGCUCAGGACGAACGCUGGCGGUAUGCCUAAUACAUGCAAGUCGAACGCUGAAGCACUCUGCUUGCAGAGUGCGGAUGAGUGGCGAACGGGUGAGUAACACGUGGGUAACCUGCCCAUAAGAGGGGGAUAACAUCCGGAAACGGGUGCUAAUACCGCAUAGGUGAACGGAGCGCAUGCUCUGUUCAUUAAAGAUGGCCUUGUGCUAUCGCUUAUGGAUGGACCCGCGGCGUAUUAGCUAGUUGGUGAGGUAAUGGCUCACCAAGGCGAUGAUACGUAGCCGACCUGAGAGGGUGAUCGGCCACACUGGGACUGAGACACGGCCCAGACUCCUACGGGAGGCAGCAGUAGGGAAUCUUCCACAAUGGGCGAAAGCCUGAUGGAGCAAUACCGCGUGAGUGAAGAAGGUCUUCGGAUCGUAAAGCUCUGUUGUUAGAGAAGAACACGCAAAACAGUAACUGGUUUUGCGCUGACGGUAUCUUACCAGAAAGUCACGGCUA
This 511-nucleotide ribosomal RNA is filed under the name uncultured Alkalibacterium sp. RNAcentral's name for it is "bacterial SSU rRNA". It matches the Rfam family "Bacterial small subunit ribosomal RNA", at positions 8 to 499 of the family's 1533-position model. The record is from RNAcentral. Lineage: Bacteria; Bacillati; Bacillota; Bacilli; Lactobacillales; Carnobacteriaceae.